GACGAACGCUGGCGGCGUGCUUAACACAUGCAAGUCGAACGGUAAGGCCCUUCGGGGUACACGAGUGGCGAACGGGUGAGUAACACGUAGGUGAUCUGCCCUGCACUUCGGGAUAAGCCUGGGAAACUGGGUCUAAUACCGGAUAGGACCCUGGGAUGCAUGUCCUGGGGUGGAAAGCUUUUGCGGUGUGGGAUGGGCCCGCGGCCUAUCAGCUUGUUGGUGGGGUGAUGGCCUACCAAGGCGACGACGGGUAGCCGGCCUGAGAGGGUGACCGGCCACACUGGGACUGGGGUACGGCCCAGACUCCUACGGGAGGCAGCAGUGGGGAAUAUUGCACAAUGGGCGCAAGCCUGAUGCAGCGACGCCGCGUGAGGGAUGACGGCCUUCGGGUUGUAAACCUCUUUCAGCACCGACGAAGCGCAAGUGACGGUAGGUGCAGAAGAAGGACCGGCCAACUACGUGCCAGCCGCCGCCGUAA
RNAcentral lists this ribosomal RNA (478 nucleotides) under uncultured bacterium. RNAcentral describes it as "partial 16S ribosomal RNA". It matches the Rfam family "Bacterial small subunit ribosomal RNA", at positions 28 to 523 of the family's 1533-position model. The record is from RNAcentral.